Molecule: ribosomal RNA, 324 nt
Filed under: uncultured eukaryote
Lineage: Eukaryota
Description: partial 18S ribosomal RNA
Rfam family: Eukaryotic small subunit ribosomal RNA
Source: RNAcentral
CCCUUAGAUGUUCUGGGCCGCACGCGCGCUACACUGAUGCAUUCAACGAGUCUCUUCCUGGUCCGAGAGGAAUGGGUAACCUUUUGAAAGUGCAUCGUGAUAGGGAUAGACUAUUGCAAUUAUUGGUCUUCAACGAGGAAUUCCUAGUAGACGUAGUUCAUCAGACUGCAUCGAUUACGUCCCUGCCCUUUGUACACACCGCCCGUCGCUCCUACCGAUUGAAUGCUCAGGUGAGCCAUUCGGACUUUCAUCAUGCUGGUUUCCAGUUUUGAUGAAGGAAAGUCUUGCGAACCUUAUCAUUUAGAGGAAGGAGAAGUCGUAACA